RNAcentral lists this long non-coding RNA (3212 nucleotides) under Triticum aestivum (bread wheat). RNAcentral's name for it is "long non-coding RNA (TAES_LNC016437)". Lineage: Eukaryota; Viridiplantae; Streptophyta; Magnoliopsida; Poales; Poaceae. The record is from RNAcentral.
GGGGCCAUAGGUUUCACUAGUGGCUUCUCUCAAGAUAGCAUAACUAUUACGGUGGGUGAACAAAAUACUGUCGACCAAUUGAUAGAGAUUACUAGUAAGAUGCAUGUGCUUACGCUACGGAAUCACAAAAGAGGGUGGGAAUUGUUUACUGAAGGGUGAAGAGCCUACUAAACAAUUAAAUAUGUACCAAGACAUCUAUCAAAAAGAUGCCAUAUUGUUGAUAAGUACACAUCAAGCAAAUCGACUGAUGAACCUCCUUAUCCAAGCCAAACAUUUCUUCUCAAUUUUCACUUUGCAGAAGACUUAUGUUGUUCCUGCCCAGCUUUCUCCUUCUUGUCCCAUAUCGAGGGGGCCUGAGAGCAUGCAACAAAUACAAAAAUCCAUCCAGACACAUUUGGCAACUGCAACCACCCCAACCAGCUUUGGGUUAACACAUGAUCCACCUCCAGUCCGCAUCCCAUUAACUGCUACAAGAAUCUACCACGCAAAAAAGAACUGCUACACGAAUCUACAUACGCUGCCACCAUGAAGAGAAGCAAUAUUUUACACCCAUUCAUGCUUAGUUACAUACCUUAGGCAUCUAUGAGGCCAUGGAAUCAUUAGCCAAGCAAAGUAUACCCUUCUUUUAGUCAUUUACUCAAAACAUAUGUGCGAACAAUAUUAGCCCUCGAGUUCGUGCUCAUCUACCUUCUCAGAAAAAUGGUAUGUAGUAUAUAUAACAAUCUGUACAUACAAAAAUAUUACUAUUGGACUAUUUGUAACUUUAUUACAUCAACCAGGUUUAUGCAAAGAUAAUGUUGAUAAGAAACAGCCAGGAAACAAAUAUUCGGGAUGUGGCUUGAAAAAUUGGAUGUUUCUCCAUAUAUGCGCAAUCUGAAGUCAACGCCAAGAAAUUAACAUAGAGAACAAUAAAAAUAACAAAUGCAAACUAACACUUUAUCAGAAAGGAAGGAAAUGCAGAAUUGACAAGACAAACACCGCAGCCACAACAUUUUGCAAAGAUAAUUUGCUACCUACAUUUGUCAAUGACGAAAAUGAUAGAAUAGGCAUACGGCACAACUACAGUCUGACACAUAGGGGCAAAUACUAAUUAUUCUCUCUGUAGGGCAUAGGCCAACAACCAUGAACGACAAUAGAGCUGUUGUACUUCCGUGCUCGCAAUGAAAUUAUAUCAGCUAUUGGCAGCAAAGACACAGAUAAAUAGAACUGGCUGAAGUGCAUCACUUGUAACAGGAUUUAAAACAGCGACCAUCCAACUAAAUACCGAUAGUGCAGUAAAGCAGCAGCUAUGAACUGUUGGAAACACUAAUGUACAAAAUUUUGAAGCUCACCUUCUAGAUAAUACGAAUCACCUGAGGAUAUAGUUACUCAUGCAUGAGCUUUGACAUGGUCAAGCAUGUCGAGCAUACAAGUUUCCUCUAAAGGUAUUUGUCCAAUUUUGCACUUAUAUUAUCUGGAACUUUGUCUACAUGCAAGUGAUCGUGUUUGCUUGAUUCUAGCCCAUGCAAAGUUCUGUAAGCAGAUUGCCUAAGGCUCUUCAACAAUCGUUCUCCCUGUCUCCCAUCAGGUAAUUGGCCCAAGUGAUUAUAAAUUAUUAAGCUACUGAUUAGUCUAUAUCUCUAGAACAGCUAAUCAAAUAAAUAAUACUGGGGAUGACAUCAUAUCAACUAUUGCAGACCUGAAGUUGAUCCAAUAAUAAGCAAAUAACAUAUGCAGUAUUGGGGGCGAAAUCUAUGUGCGUGCACCUCCCGGCGGAUGGAAUCACAACGGCGAAGCAUGGAGGCAGAACACAGUAGCAUCGGCACGGAUGAUGCGGGGUGCUGUGCCAGUGUGAUUGCGCUACUGCUGGCGGCACGUAUCCUGGAAGCCGAGAACUGAGACGGGGCAGCUUCGUCACGGUAAUAUGAACAGUUCAGAGCUUCCAAUGCUCCUCAGAUUAAACACGAGAUAUGAACAGUUCGGAGCUUGCAAAAAGGAAAAUCAUACCAAACCAUAUAAUAUGAAGAUUGAAUGAAGGCCAAACCCAACACCAUGUAACAACUUUCAUAGAGAUGCAUCACAGGAAUUUUUUUCUUCUCUUUAUUUCAUCCCCUAAAAAAAGCAGUAUAAACAGAGUACUGAAUUUCUGAAAUGAACGACACCAGUAACUUAUUCUUCUCUCUAUCUCUUCUCCUAAAUCGAUUUAAACAAAGAAAGAAUAACUUGAUAAUAUUCAGAUAGAAACAUUCCUUUCUUAUCUAAGCCACAGACGCAUAAUGCAGAACCAAUCUGUUUUAGAAGGUGGUGAUGGAGAAAGCUCACCGGCUGAUAUCACCAAAAAGGAGGACCUCCUAUGGUGUAUGGGGCUUGCAUAUAAUAUAUCAAGAUCAAAGUCUUCUCACCAUUGCCGGCUACAUUAUGUAUCUAAGUAGCAGCUGCAACUGCAUGGCCACCAGACGCCUACCGCUGUAGCAAGCAGCACCGGUCCCUUGUCACCAUGUUUACAAGUACCUAGAAGCAGCAUACAUAUCUACAUAUCAUGAAGCGAGUACCUAGUAGCACCAGUUGUAAUCAGUAAGCAAGUAACAGCAUGAAGAAAACCAGUAGCAGCAUGAGAAAAUCGCAGCAGUGCUUUCCUCUAUGGUCUCUUUAUAUAUGCAAUAGCAGUAUAUCAGGGCAGAUCAGCAAAAUUAAUAACAUUACACUUAUCAAUCUUGAUGCACUCGUCGGCCAGGCCAGCUAGCAUCCAUCCCAGCGUUCGCGCCCUCCUCCGCGCAUAGCCAUCCCCAACGUCCAUGCCUUCUACCUGACCGUCUUGUUCCUAUGCCCCCAAGAACUUCCGCUCAGCUCAAGCUCCACUAUGAGCGUGGGGAGAGAGGAAAAGGGAGGAGAAGGGGGGCUCCUGCACGCCGCCCUAGCAUUCAGGCGCACGCACACGCACAUAUAGCACGCGUGCUAUCGAUCCAAUGGCUCCGCCUCGCCCGGGCUGGCAUGGGGAUGCAACAAAGUAGAGUAGCAGAUUAAGAAUUUGUCAGUGCUUGGAUUGGGACGGCAAGCCGGCGACCGUGGCGGCGGGGAUGGGCUCGAUCCAGCAUCUCGCGAUGGUGGGGUGGGGAAUGGGGGACGCCCGGGGUAGUGGGAGUGUUCAGACGUGGGGAGAGGAUGGUCUCUGGCGGCCAGAGAUAGGGCGGCGGCUCUAUAGAUCUGUUUCUCAAGAGAAGGAGAAACUUCUA